RNAcentral lists this transfer RNA (62 nucleotides) under Chelodina expansa. Its description in RNAcentral is "tRNA-Ser". The record is from RNAcentral. Lineage: Eukaryota; Metazoa; Chordata; Testudines; Chelidae.
GAGAAAGACAUACAUAAGAACUGCUAAUUCUUACAACUGAUACUAAAACCUCAGCUCUCUCA